This 490-nucleotide ribosomal RNA is filed under the name uncultured bacterium. Its description in RNAcentral is "bacterial SSU rRNA". It matches the Rfam family "Bacterial small subunit ribosomal RNA", at positions 842 to 1333 of the family's 1533-position model. The record is from RNAcentral.
AGUGCCGCAGCUAACGCAUUAAGCACUCCGCCUGGGGAGUACGACCGCAAGGUUGAAACUCAAAGGAAUUGACGGGGGCCCGCACAAGCGGUGGAGCAUGUGGUUUAAUUCGAAGCAACGCGAAGAACCUUACCAGGUCUUGACAUCCNNAUGCCCGCUCUAGAGAUAGAGUUUUNNUUCGGUACANNGGUGACAGGUGGUGCAUGGUUGUCGUCAGCUCGUGUCGUGAGAUGUUGGGUUAAGUCCCGCAACGAGCGCAACCCUUAUUGUUAGUUGCCAUCAUUCAGUUGGGCACUCUAGCGAGACUGCCGGUAAUAAACCGGAGGAAGGUGGGGAUGACGUCAAAUCAUCAUGCCCCUUAUGACCUGGGCUACACACGUGCUACAAUGGCUGGUACAACGAGUCGCAAGUCGGUGACGGCAAGCUAAUCUCUUAAAGCCAGUCUCAGUUCGGAUUGUAGGCUGCAACUCGCCUACAUGAAGUCGGAAUC